UGGAGGCGGGAAGAAUGUAGCGCGCUUGCGUGCGCCGAGAUUGCCGGCGCUCUUCUACCCCGCAAGGAGGGGCUGAAAUGCGCAGUCGCGUUGUUGCGGCGCUCAGACCCUCGCUUCUUCACGGUCCGGAGGAGAGCAAACCACCAAAAGAUGAUGGCGUGAAGGACCAUAAUUAGCAAUCUCUCUCCAGAGAUGACAUUUGAUCUGAGGCCUGAAUGACCACAGGGGCCAGGAGCCAAGAGAAGAUCUGGGGCGGAGCCUUCCAGGCAGAGGAAACAGCUAAAGCAGAGGCCUGAGGUGGGAAUGAGACCUGCAGAUCAUUUACUCUGAAGGAAGCCAACUGCCCUAUGGUGAGGACACAAAGCAGUCCGAUGGAAGUCUCCAUUUUAUGAUUCUGUGAACAGCCAGUGAGGAGUUAGACAAUGGCUAUUAGGCUAAUGGGUGAGUUUGGAAGAGGAUCCUCCAGCCCCAGUCAAGUCUUCAGAAGGAAAGUCCUGAGCCAGAACCACCCAACUAAGCUGCUACCAGGUUCUUGACUCACAAAAACCAUGGAAAUAAAUAUUGUUUUAAGUCACCAAGUUUUGGGGUCAUUUGUUAAGCACAGUAGACAAUGAUACAAUAGCAUUAGUGUUUUCAACUUCCUAGUUUGGUUUGUUUUUUGGUAAAUUUGGGGCUGGUUUUUAUACUGUUUUUUGCUCUCCUUUUAAAAUAUGCAGUUUGGAGAGGCUGGGUGAUUGAGUCAGUUAAGUGUCUGUCUCUUGGUUUCAGUUCAGGUCACAAUCUCAUGGCUCGUGGAUUUGAGUCCUGUGUCAGGCUCCCUGGUUGGGAUUCUCUCUCCCCCUCUCUCUCCCCCGCCCCCCCCCCCCACGCGUAUGUGUGUGCU
This is a long non-coding RNA of Acinonyx jubatus (cheetah), 883 nucleotides long. RefSeq lists it as uncharacterized. The record is from RefSeq and is a predicted model, not a curated record. Lineage: Eukaryota; Metazoa; Chordata; Mammalia; Carnivora; Felidae. The transcript is spliced from 3 exons.